UACGUAGGGUGCAAGCGUUGUCCGGAAUUAUUGGGCGUAAAGAGCUCGUAGGCGGUCUGUCGCGUCGGAUGUGAAAACCCAGGGCUCAACCCUGGGCCUGCAUUCGAUACGGGCAGACUAGAGUUCGGUAGGGGAGACUGGAAUUCCUGGUGUAGCGGUGAAAUGCGCAGAUAUCAGGAGGAACACCGGUGGCGAAGGCGGGUCUCUGGGCCUUACCUGACGCUGAGGCGCGACAGCGUGGGGAGCAAACAGG
This 253-nucleotide ribosomal RNA is filed under the name uncultured bacterium. Its description in RNAcentral is "partial 16S ribosomal RNA". It matches the Rfam family "Bacterial small subunit ribosomal RNA", at positions 524 to 776 of the family's 1533-position model. The record is from RNAcentral.